This 1516-nucleotide ribosomal RNA is filed under the name Saprospiraceae bacterium. Its description in RNAcentral is "bacterial SSU rRNA". It matches the Rfam family "Bacterial small subunit ribosomal RNA". Lineage: Bacteria; Pseudomonadati; Bacteroidota; Saprospiria; Saprospirales; Saprospiraceae. The record is from RNAcentral.
ACCAUGGAGAGUUUGAUCCUGGCUCAGGAUGAACGCUGUGGGAGGCUUAAUACAUGCAAGUCGAGCGGCAAGUUUUGAUAGCAAUAUUGGAACCUAGAGCGGCGCACGGGUGAGUAACGCGUACAGACCUGCCCUAUACUGGGGAUAGUCUUGGGAAACUGAGAAUAAUCCCGCAUGUGAUUAGAAUGCUGCAUGGCAAAUUAAUUAAAGCUGAGGCGGUAUAGGAUGGGUGUGCGUCUGAUUAGCUUGUUGGUAGUGUAACGGACUACCAAGGCGAUGAUCAGUAGGGGGCGUGAGAGCGUGACCCCCCACACGGGUACUGAGACACGGACCCGACUCCUACGGGAGGCAGCAGUAAGGAAUAUUGGUCAAUGGAGGGAACUCUGAACCAGCCAUCCCGCGUGAAGGAUGAAGGGGCUCUGCCUUGUAAACUUCUUUUGCAUGGGACGAAAAAACUUAAUUUAUUAAGGACUGACGGUACCAUGAGAAUAAGCACCGGCUAACUCCGUGCCAGCAGCCGCGGUAAUACGGAGGAGUGCAGGCGUUAUCCGGAAUCACUGGGUUUAAAAGGGUGCGUAGGCGGUUUGAUAAGUCAGUGGUGAAAGGCCGUCGCUUAACGAUGGGACUGCCAUUGAUACUAUUAGACUUGAAUCAGGAUGAGGUUGGCGGAAUGUAGCAUGUAGCGGUGAAAUGUAGAUAUGCCAUGGAAUACCGAUUGCGAAGGCAGCUGACUGGACCUGAAUUGACGCUGAGGCACGAAAGCGUGGGGAGCGAACAGGUUAGAUACCCUGGUAGUCCACGCCUAAACGAUGCUUACUCGUUGUUUGAUCUAAGGUUGAGUGACUAAGCGAAAGCGAUAAGUAAGCCACCUGGGGGAGUACGACCGCAAGGUUGAAACUCAAAGGAAUUGACGGGGGUCCCACAAGCGGUGGAGCAUGUGGUUUAAUUCGAUGAUACGCGAGGAACCUUACCUGGGCUAGAAUGCGAGUGAAUGUGUGUGAAAGCAUGCAGGCCGCAAGGGACACAAAGCAAGGUGCUGCAUGGCUGUCGUCGCUCGUGUCGUGAGAUGUUGGGUUAAGUCCGCAACGAGCGCAACCCUAUCUUUAGUUGCUAACCCGCAAGGGAGGACUCUCAGAGACUGCCCCGUAAGGGAGAGGAAGGAGGAUGACGUCAAGUCAUCAUGGCCUUUAUGUCCGGGCGACACACGUGCUACAAUGGCCGGUACAGAGGGGAAAGCGAAACAGUGAUGUGGAGCCAAUCCCAGAAAGCCGGUCUCAGUUCGGAUUGGAGUCUGCAACCCGACUCCAUGAAGUUGGAAUCGCUAGUAAUCGCGCAUCAGCUAUGGCGCGGUGAAUACGUUCCCGGACCUUGUACACACCGCCCGUCAAGCCAUGGAAGCCAGGGGUGCCUGAAGAUGGUGCUCGUUACAGAGGCUAUCUGAGGUAAAACUGGUGACUGGGGCCUAAAUCGUAACAAGGUAGCCGUACCGGGAAGGUGCGGCUGGAAUACCUCCUUU